GAAAAACUAGUUAAGAAAUAACAUAGGCCUGUCAGCCCUACAUCACUAGUUAAACCCUGGUGUUUUUCA
RNAcentral lists this transfer RNA (69 nucleotides) under Stereobalanus canadensis. Its description in RNAcentral is "tRNA-Asp". Lineage: Eukaryota; Metazoa; Hemichordata; Enteropneusta; Harrimaniidae. The record is from RNAcentral.